RNAcentral lists this ribosomal RNA (334 nucleotides) under Zoophthora occidentalis. RNAcentral describes it as "SSU rRNA". It matches the Rfam family "Bacterial small subunit ribosomal RNA", at positions 368 to 778 of the family's 1533-position model. The record is from RNAcentral. Lineage: Eukaryota; Fungi; Entomophthoromycota; Entomophthoromycetes; Entomophthorales; Entomophthoraceae.
GCAAUGGGCAAGGCGCCUGAUCCAGCCAGAUAGUAAGAGUGUGAUUAACACUCCACUCAAAAGAAAAAACAAAACAAUGAUAGAAGUUUUCAUUAUAUCCUGACUAAUUUCGUGCCAGCAGUCGCGGCAAUACGUGAAGGAUAAGCGUAAUUCAUCAUCACUAGGUAUCAAGCGUCUGUAGGCGGCGUAUCGAAUGUAAGCUAGAGUCUGACUAGGAAAUUGGAAUUUAAUAAGUAAGGAUAAAAUCUUUUGAUUUAUUAAAGAAUUUUAUGCGAAGGCAUAUUUCUCUGAACGACUGACGCUAAGAGACUAAAGUGUGGGUAGCGAAAAGGAU